CAAGAAACAAGCAAAGCAAAAAAUACAAUUUGUGUCACAUGAAUGUAUCAUGCCGGAUUUCAAGUUAUUUAGAAAUUGCUCUUUUGCAUACACUUUCCAUAACUAGUUCUUAGCAAAAUGGGUAUAGAUAACCCCAUUAGUAACAGGCAGAAAAAAUAAGUAAAUAAAAAUCCAUAAGAAUUGUGAAUGCACCUUUAUCCCAAAAAUAGUCAUUUGCCUUGUUUUGUGAAUGUAAUGUUAAAAAAAAAAAUUUUUUUAGAAAGAGUAAGUGGUGGAAACCGAUCAUUUUGGUGUAUUACAGGAAGAAAGAAAAAAAAGUCACAUUGAUGAAUGUGGAACAACAGUUCCAUACCCAAUAGUUUGCAAGUACAUGAUGGCCCAUAAGCCCCUACCCAUGCAUAAGAUAUAUAGAUGGUAGGGACUUAUAGGCCACCGUGUACACAAGGCUGAUGCAAACAUGAAAACAAAGGCAACAUUGUUUAAAUAACCACUACAGAUUUCAGGGCUAAUAUAGGUUUACUAUAUACACUUUAUAAUGGUCAGCAGUAAAAUGGAGUUUCCUACGCAUAAUAGAAUCAUCAACAUUUAUAUAGCGCCAACAGAUUCCGUGGCGCUUUACACACACGGCUGCAAAUACUGCACUAAAUAUAACUCAGCAGAAU
Pelobates cultripes (western spadefoot toad) is the source of this 662-nucleotide non-coding RNA. Lineage: Eukaryota; Metazoa; Chordata; Amphibia; Anura; Pelobatidae. The record is from the annotation of a GenBank genome assembly.